This 886-nucleotide ribosomal RNA is filed under the name uncultured bacterium. Its description in RNAcentral is "bacterial SSU rRNA". It matches the Rfam family "Bacterial small subunit ribosomal RNA", at positions 93 to 980 of the family's 1533-position model. The record is from RNAcentral.
GACCGGCGCACGGGUGCGUAACACGUAUGCAACCUACCUUUUACUGGGGUAUAGCUCAGAGAAAUCUGAAUUAAUCCCCCAUAAUGUUAUUGAAUGGCAUCAUUUAAUAACUAAAGCUACGGCGGUAAAAGAUGGGCAUGCGUUGUAUUAGCUAGUUGGUGAGGUAAUGGCUCACCAAGGCUACGAUACAUAGGGGUUCUGAGAGGAUGAUCCCCCACACUGGUACUGAGACACGGACCAGACUCCUACGGGAGGCAGCAGUAGGGAAUAUUGGUCAAUGGACGCAAGUCUGAACCAGCCAUGCCGCGUGCAGGAAGACGGCCCUCUGGGUUGUAAACUGCUUUUAUAUGGGAAGAAACCUCGGGAUGCGUUCCGAGCUGACGGUACCAUAUGAAUAAGGAUCGGCUAACUUCGUGCCAGCAGCCGCGGUAAGACGAAGGAUCCAAGCGUUGUCCGGAUUUACUGGGUUUAAAGGGUGCGUAGGCGGAAAAUUAAGUCAGUGGUGAAAUCCCGUAGCUCAACUACGGAACUGCCAAUGAAACUGAUUUUCUUGAAUAUGGUUGAGGUAGAUGGAAUAUAACAUGUAGCGGUGAAAUGCUUAGAUAUGUUAUAGAACACCAAUUGCGAAGGCAGUCUACUAAGUCAUUAUUGACGCUGAGGCACGAAAGCGUGGGGAGCGAACAGGAUUAGAUACCCUGGUAGUCCACGCCGUAAACGUUGAUUACUCGCUGUUGGCAAUACACUGUCAGCGGCUAAGCGAAAGCGUUAAGUAAUCCACCUGGGAAGUACGACCGCAAGGUUGAAACUCAAAGGAAUUGACGGGGGCCCGCACAAGCGGAGGAGCAUGUGGUUUAAUUCGAUGAUACGCGAGGAACCUUACCUGGGC